This 584-nucleotide long non-coding RNA is filed under the name Rosa chinensis. RNAcentral describes it as "sRNA RchiOBHm_Chr2g0091221". The record is from RNAcentral. Lineage: Eukaryota; Viridiplantae; Streptophyta; Magnoliopsida; Rosales; Rosaceae.
CGGCGGCUUUCGUCUCCGAAACACUUUCGCAAUCGGAGCUCCGCCGCCGCGUCUUCUCCACGCUCCGCCGCAGGCUCCCGCCACCGUUGGGUUCCAGCCAAACCGCGGCUAUUAAAUCCCUCAACUUCGCCGCGGAAACCCUAGAAAACGCCAUCGCCGAAUCCAGCGCAGCCGUCCGGACCUCCUCCCUCCGCCUCUGUGAGAAGCUCCUCCUCUCCGGGCCCAAAAGCCCCUUCUCCUCGCUCCUCCUCUCCCUCAUCUACGGCCUCUGCCGCCGCUCGAUCGACGCCGCCGUCUGCGUCCUCGAGAUCUUCCGAUCCGAGCCGGCGCUCGCCCGGACGGAAUUGGCUCCGGUGCUGUUCGAGGAGCUCUUCCUCGUCCACCUCCUCCCGGUUCUCCAGUGGUACAAUCGCCGGCGAUCGCAGAUUCUGCCGUCGCUGUCCCCAAAUGUCAGCUACGAAAACGACGACGACGACGACGUUUCGAUCAACGACAUGUCGGUGGCGUUUCCGGCGGGGUCGAAUUCGCUGUCGAAGAUGAGCGGGAACCAGACGGCGGGCUGAAGGAGCUGGAGAGCCGCUACG